Long non-coding RNA from Apis cerana (Asiatic honeybee), 4392 nucleotides. RefSeq lists it as uncharacterized. Lineage: Eukaryota; Metazoa; Arthropoda; Insecta; Hymenoptera; Apidae. The record is from RefSeq and is a predicted model, not a curated record.
UUAAGUUUCUUUUAUUUUAUAUAACAUUAUACAAUACGUAUUCACAAAAAUGAUUGAAAAAGAAAGCAAAUUUCUAAGUCCUUGUUUCGUAAUGUUUUGAUGUAUUCAAAGGAUUAUGUAAUCGAAGAGAAAGAGCAAUGUCUUAACAGUGAUGUUACGACAACGGGAGGGACACUUCCUUCAACAAGGCGCACCAUGAUCGGAAAGAGAAAGAGAGAGAGAGCAUUACACCUUUACGAUUAUGCAGCAAAUGCGAUUAUCGCGGUUGACCGUUCUUCGAAGAAUAACAUCAAAAGGGAUACAGAAAUACAGAGUUCGACCGGUUUAAAAUGAUUUCACCUUGAUUCGUAUCGAUAUUAUUACCUUUAAAGAGAAGUAUACGGGAAUACAAGAGGAAUAAAAGUGGAUAGAGUUGUCUCGAAGUAAAUUUUUAUAAAAAUACGUGGUAUGACGCAACUAUCGAUCAAUUUCGUAACUUUAGUAAUUUUUUUUCUGGGCAACAAGAAAGUACUAUUGUAUACUUUUAUUCGUCAUGAAUUGAGCUGUCGUAGAAAAACGUGCUUCUUUCCAGCCAUGUUUUACAUGUUUUAAAAAAUCAUAACAUGUCUAAAUUAUUAUUCUGAAUACUUCGUCGUCGGGAUAAACGUGCUCAAAGAUUGUUCAAGCCUCCUUUAAUCAGGAAUUUCAACGAAACUUGGAACGUUGGAACUUUUAUCAAAAAGAGAAAAAAAUAAAGUUAAAAAGGUAUUAAUUAAACAAUAUCCCGGAAAAUAUUGAAGUCGGUGAACGAAAUUAAUAUAUAUAAUCGACAACCGAGGAUGAAACGAUGCUCGUUAAACGGAAAACGAGACGACAAUCGUGUUCGACGUUCCUUCAUUAUAUUAUCAUCGUCCUUACGAACAAUUAUCGGGAGUAGAUCGUAGCCAAUAAUGAAUCUGAAUGAGGAUCGUUCGAUUGUUACAUCAAGAAAUUACGUGUCGCGUUUACGCUACCGCAGACGAUGGUUAAUUGUCCUCGAGAAAAAAGUGGAGAGGAGGAGGAGGAGGAGGAGGAGGAAGAGGAGGAGAAAAGAAGGCUGGAAGGGAGAAGAAGCGUUGAUAGAGGAGAAUCUUAAUAGAGUGAUCGACGCCACGUUGCACGCCACGUUCCUCGAUCCCGUUUCUCAGAAUCGUCGUGGCCAAGCCUCGUUGAUUCUCGCCUGUUAACUUUGUCGUUGCUUUUCUAAUUAAAGAAGGUCAGGGAUUCCCUUCGCGCCGACGAUCUUUGAGGGGAAAAAAAAAAGAAGACGGAGGUUUGCGAAAUUCUUUGUUCUUAUCUUUCAACGAUGCCUUUCAACCACUGUUGUCUAUCGCCGUUGCGAGACACCUUUCUCGAGACAAGGCAUUUCCGUAUUUUAUAUUUUUUUUUUCGCGUGUUAAAUGAAACUAUGAAAUUCACUUGAAUUUUCCAUAACAUAACAGAUUACUAUUUGGAUUAUCACGAGUGAAAAAUUUUUGUUUCGAAAGGAAUGUAACUUGCACCGUAUGAAAAAAUGUCAAAUCUCUACAUACUCGCAACUUCAGUUAGUUUCACUUUCUUCUUUAAGAGAUAAGUUAGCAAACUUUGACUUCUAUAUAUAUAUAUCAUGAUCCAACAGAAUUAACAAGCAAUACAAACAAUUUCCCAGGAGAAGAAGUUUCUAGAAGUAGGUGAAACUCGAUAUCCAGCGAAGGAACGACGGUUACCGAUGGAAUUCACCAAAUCCAUAUAUGUAUAAUCCAAAGUAAACUCUGGCGGUCUUUAAACAGGUCGCAGAACGGAUUGGAAAAAUUAUUUUCCAUCCGUAUCUAUUCGCAAGAGAUCACGUAUCGCGCAAACGAGACAGUUAGUUAACUGUGCCGAAGCAAUAAAGUGCCGGCAAAGGCAGAUCCUGGCGGGGGGGUUGAAUCGCGGAAUCGAUCGAGGAACGUGUAGCGUACCGAGCGCAGGACGCACAGUUGACAUCAUCAGAACGUCGACCUUUCUGAACGAUCUCGGAUACGGUCUCGCGUUACAUCGUCUCGUUCUGCUAAUGAGAAUUACGCAACUGCACGCAUCAAAUCCGGCUGGCGCAUUCUCGCGUACCGGAAUCACUUUCCGGAGUGGCUCUCCCCGUCCGCGGUGUACCAGAGGAUCGAGUUCCCUCGGAUUGACACGGAGAAAGCCGAUAGGAGGAAACAAUAUCGCUCAAAGACGCGUCAAUCUUUUUUCAUCUUUAACCUGAAAGAAAAAAAAGAUGAAACAAAGAGAUGAUAUGCACAAUAUGUAAAAAACAUACGCGUAUAUAAAUUGAUCGGUGAGUGAUGGGGAGAAAAAUCGAAAAUGCGAAAAUGGUAAAAAGUGGGAAGAAGGAUAGAGAAUCAAAUCAGAGAUUCACCGAUAUACGUGUUUAUUGGAAGGAGAGGUGGAAAAUGGGAGAACGAAUGGAAAGACAGAAGGAGGAUGAAAGGCGAAAGGAGAGGGAGAGAGGGAGAGAAAGAGAGAGAAGAGCCGGGCCACCCAACGAAUCCCCAGAGAAGCGACGGCGGUGGGAGUAUUGAUCCGGAAUGCCGGCGACCGGCUGCCUCGAACGCUCUCCUUUACCUUCUCUCCCCCUAUCUCUAUCUCUUUUCCUUCCUUCCUUCCUUCCUUUCUUCCUUUCUUCCUAUGUACACCGACUUUUCUUUCUAUCCUUUCCUUCUUCCUUCUUCCUCUUCGUUUAGUCCAAGUAUUCGCAUCCAACCUUCACUCCAUCCCUGAAACCAUAACUAAACCACGAAUUACUUCGUUUGCCUCUUGCUUCGUCUUCGAUUUCAGAUCUAGAUCUGAUUUCAGAUCAUCCAUCCUCUGAUUUCACGCCGCCCUUUCCAUUCGAGAAUAUUAAAACAACACCCCAAGAGAUUGCCUUCUGUUUCUUCCUCUCUCGAUCAUCGCUGCUCAUGACACUUUGCUUUUUCUCGGCAUCCGAUUCUUGAACGUUUGUUCCUUCGCUUUGUUCCCCAUCCCUCUAUUUUAGCCUCCUCGGCACGGAAGUAGUCUCCGUACCGAAUCUGCGUGUUUAUGGCAGUUCCAGAAUAGUUUUUGAAUCGCCACAACUGAUGCCAUUUUCGACUAAAACAUUGCUUUUAAGCGUGCUUUAACAUUUUGUGAUUUGUCUCUAUAGUGUUUGUACAUCGCUUUAGCAAUUACAUGUUUUUGUGUUUUCGGUUUUGCGUUUACGAAUUAAUCCAGAGAGGAACGAUUGUUUCAACAUUUCCGCAAAUGUUUCUACUAGAUUGUAGUGCGUUUAAGCGAAUAAUGUAAAAUGGCCCUUAAACAAAUUUUUGUAAUUUAAAAUUGUUUGAUUCGUGUUAAUUCGAAUUUGGAUAAAUUUAUUUAUUUAUUUUUAUUUUUUUCGUUUGUAAAUAAAAUAUUCGCGUUCGAAUUGGGGAAUUAUGUUAUAGUAUUCGGUGACAAUCGUUAAAGGGGAGAAGACGAGGAUCGAGUAUAUGGAUCGUCUUCGGUAUUCCUUUAACGUUCUUUUCUUUUGUUCCGUGACCUACGAUCUCCUUUGUUCCUUUACCUUGGUGAACUUUGAGUAAGAAGCAACAGAGUUAGAUGAAGUAAGAACCGGUUGUACACACGUGACAUGAUUUCAAGACCGUCUUCUUUUCUUGUUUGGUUUUCUUUGAUUUUUGCUUUUUAUCGAGACACAUUUCGUACAACACUCAUACCACGUUGAUGGACAUUAAAACGAUCGUUUUUUGAUUUAUCGAUAAAUUAAGUUUCCAUUCUUGAUUUUCAAUGAAAAAAUAAAAAGAAAAGCAUAGAACCAGAUCGUUUUUAUACUCGGUUCGUGGUCCAUUCGUUACAUCAAAGAAUCGUGCGCGGUGGGCGAAUAGUCGUAAAAGCAACGUUCAUGUUGCAAGGCCACGAACGUAUAGUACGGCAAGAGUAUGUGAAAGUACCCCGAGUUAUGAAUGAAAUUAUAAAUACAUACAUGCUAGAUGAUCGUGCACGUAAUUCGGCGACGCAUAAUUCUAACUUUGGAACCUUUGGCACCAAUUAUUUUCACACUUUGAAUUUUCUACCACAUUCUUAAUUUUUUUUUUUUUUUAAGAUUAAUUUUUAAUUUUUAAGAUUAUCAGAUAAAACUUCUCACAAUCUUAUUACUUAUGAAAAUGAUUAUUAGGUUUCAAGGAUAAAAAUAUUACAAUUAAAAAAAAUUAGAAAUUUGAUUCCAAAUUAAAAAAAAAUUAUUCACGAUAAAAUAAGAUUGUUUCCAAAACAAUGAUAGAUAUUUUCAUUUAAUCUAGAGCAAGAGGCCCGUGACCCUGGUUUGUACGAAUCUCUGUUAAUAACGGAUAAUAAGAUCGCACUUCCGACAUGCGACAUGACACGGCCGCGUGCCGAAGU